Molecule: ribosomal RNA, 253 nt
Filed under: uncultured bacterium
Lineage: Bacteria
Description: partial 16S ribosomal RNA
Rfam family: Bacterial small subunit ribosomal RNA
Source: RNAcentral
UACAGAGGGUGCAAGCGUUGUUCGGAAUUACUGGGCGUAAAGCGUGCGCAGGCGGUUUUGUAAGCCAGAUGUGAAAUCCCCGGGCUUAACCUGGGAAUGGCAUUUGGGACUGCAAGGCUUGAGUGCGGCAGAGGAGACUGGAAUUCCUGGUGUAGCAGUGAAAUGCGUAGAUAUCAGGAGGAACACCGAUGGCGAAGGCAGGUCUCUGGGCUGACACUGACGCUCAUGCACGAAAGCGUGGGGAGCAAACAGG